CCUACGGGCGGCAGCAGUGGGGAAUAUUCCGCAAUGGGGGAAACCCUGACGGAGCAACGCCGCGUGAGCGAAGAAGGCCUUUGGGUUGUAAAGCUCUGUCUUCAGGGAAGAAACCUUAAGAGAGGAUAAUGCUCUUAAGCUGACGGUACCUGAGGAGGAAGCCCCGGCUAACUACGUGCCAGCAGCCGCGGUAAUACGUAGGGGGCGAGCGUUGUCCGGAAUUAUUGGGCGUAAAGCGCGCGUAGGCGGUCAUUUAAGUCAGGCGUGAAAAACCUAGGCUCAACCAAGGUAUUGCGUUUGAAACUGGAUGACUUGAGGGCAGGAGAGGAUAGCGGAAUUCCUAGUGUAGCGGUGAAAUGCGUAGAGAUUAGGAGGAACACCAGUGGCGAAGGCGGCUAUCUGGCCUGUACCUGACGCUGAGGUGCGAAAGCUGGGGGAGCGAACGGGAUUAGAUACCCCUGUAGUC
RNAcentral lists this ribosomal RNA (466 nucleotides) under uncultured Eubacteriales bacterium. Its description in RNAcentral is "bacterial SSU rRNA". It matches the Rfam family "Bacterial small subunit ribosomal RNA", at positions 338 to 795 of the family's 1533-position model. The record is from RNAcentral. Lineage: Bacteria; Bacillati; Bacillota; Clostridia; Eubacteriales.